This 366-nucleotide ribosomal RNA is filed under the name Triticum aestivum (bread wheat). RNAcentral's name for it is "partial small subunit ribosomal RNA". The record is from RNAcentral. Lineage: Eukaryota; Viridiplantae; Streptophyta; Magnoliopsida; Poales; Poaceae.
GUCAUCGAAGAACUCCUCGAUGAACUGCAUGGAGCAGCAUGGUUUUCCAAGUUAGAUUUGCGUGCGGGCUAUCACCAGAUCAGACUGGCUCCAGGCGAAGAGCACAAGACAGCCUUCUCAACACACCAGGGCCAUUUCGAGUUCAAGGUUCUGUCCUUUGGACUAGCUGGGGCUCCUCCCACAUUCAUUGAAGGACUGACUACUACUCUCAAACCAGUAAUACACAUUUGUGUGCUUUGUUUCUUUGAUGACAUCUUGAUUUUUAGUGCCACAUUGGAGGAACACAAGUGUCACGUGAAACAGGUGCUGGAACUGCUUCGCAAAGACCACUGGAAAGUUAAGCUCAGCAAAUGUGCGUUCGGACAA